This 440-nucleotide ribosomal RNA is filed under the name uncultured bacterium. Its description in RNAcentral is "partial 16S ribosomal RNA". It matches the Rfam family "Bacterial small subunit ribosomal RNA", at positions 338 to 795 of the family's 1533-position model. The record is from RNAcentral.
CCUACGGGAGGCAGCAGUGGGGAAUAUUGCACAAUGGGGGAAACGCUGAUGCAGCGACGCCGCGUGAGUGAAGAAGUAACUCGUUAUGUAAAGCCCUAUCAGCAGGGAAGAAAAUGACGGUACCUGAGUAAGAAGCCCCGGCUAACUACGUGCCAGCAGCCGCGGUAAUACGUAGGGAGCAAGCGUUAUCCGGAUUUACUGGGUGUAAAGGGAGCGUAGACGGCAGUGCAAGUCUGGAGUGAAAGGCGGGGGCUCAACCCCCGGACUGCUCUGGAAACUGUACGGCUGGAGUGCAGGAGGGGUAAGUGGAAUGCGUAGUGUAGCGGUGAAAUGCGUAGAUAUUAGGAGGAACACCAGUGGCGAAGGCGGCUUACUGGAGUGUAACUGACGUUGAGGCUCGAAAGCGUGGGGAGCGAACAGGAUUAGAUACCCCUGUAGUC